CAAAAUGUAGCUUAACACAAAGCAUUUAGCUUACACCUAAAAGAUUUCAGUUGGACUGACCAUUUUGA
Molecule: transfer RNA, 68 nt
Filed under: Pseudochirulus canescens (Lowland ringtail)
Lineage: Eukaryota; Metazoa; Chordata; Mammalia; Diprotodontia; Pseudocheiridae
Description: tRNA-Val
Rfam family: tRNA
About the family: Transfer RNA (tRNA) molecules are approximately 80 nucleotides in length. Their secondary structure includes four short double-helical elements and three loops (D, anti-codon, and T loops).
Source: RNAcentral